RNAcentral lists this ribosomal RNA (490 nucleotides) under uncultured bacterium. Its description in RNAcentral is "partial 16S ribosomal RNA". It matches the Rfam family "Bacterial small subunit ribosomal RNA", at positions 30 to 507 of the family's 1533-position model. The record is from RNAcentral.
AUUGAACGCUGGCGGCAGGCCUAACACAUGCAAGUCGAACGGUAACAGGGAUCAGCUUGCUGAUUCGCUGACGAGUGGCGGACGGGUGAGUAAUGUCUGGGAAACUGCCUGAUGGAGGGGGAUAACUACUGGAAACGGUAGCUAAUACCGCAUAACGUCGCAAGACCAAAGAGGGGGACCUUCGGGCCUCUUGCCAUCGGAUGUGCCCAGAUGGGAUUAGCUAGUAGGUGGGGUAACGGCUCACCUAGGCGACGAUCCCUAGCUGGUCUGAGAGGAUGACCAGCCACACUGGAACUGAGACACGGUCCAGACUCCUAUGGGAGGCAGCAGUGGGGAAUAUUGCACAAUGGGCGCAAGCCUGAUGCAGCCAUGCCGCGUGUAUGAAGAAGGCCUUCGGGUUGUAAAGUACUUUCAGCGGGGAGGAAGGGAGUAAAGUUAAUACCUUUGCUCAUUGACGUUACCCGCAGAAGAGGCACCGGCUAACUCCGUG